ACUCCUACGGGAGGCAGCAGUGGGGAAUAUUGCACAAUGGGCGCAAGCCUGAUGCAGCCAUGCCGCGUGUGUGAAGAAGGCCUUCGGGUUGUAAAGCACUUUCAGUCGUGAGGAAGGUAGUGUAGUUAAUAGCUGCAGUAUUUGUACGUUAGCGACAGAAGAAGCACCGGCUAACUCCGUGCCAGCAGCCGCGGUAAUACGGAGGGUGCGAGCGUUAAUCGGAAUUACUGGGCGUAAAGCGCAUGCAGGUGGUUUGUUAAGUCAGAUGUGAAAGCCCGGGGCUCAACCUCGGAAUAGCAUUUGAAACUGGCAGACUAGAGUACUGUAGAGGGGGUUAGAAUUUCAGGUGUAGCGGUGAAAUGCGUAGAGAUCGUGAAGGUAAUACCGGGUGGCGAAGGCCGGCCCCCGUAGGACGAGAUACUGACACUCAGAUGCGAAA
RNAcentral lists this ribosomal RNA (439 nucleotides) under uncultured bacterium. RNAcentral's name for it is "bacterial SSU rRNA". It matches the Rfam family "Bacterial small subunit ribosomal RNA", at positions 335 to 758 of the family's 1533-position model. The record is from RNAcentral.